GACGAACGCUGGCGGCGUGCUUAACACAUGCAAGUCGAACGGAAAGGCCCUGCUUUUGUGGGGUGCUCGAGUGGCGAACGGGUGAGUAACACGUGAGUAACCCGCCCUUGACUUUGGGAUAACUUCAGGAGACUGGGGCUAAUACCGGAUAGGAGCUCCUGCUGCAUGGUGGGGGUUGGAAAGUUUCGGCGGUUGGGGAUGGACUCGCGGCUUAUCAGCUUGUUGGUGGGGUAGUGGCUUACCAAGGCUUUGACGGGUAGCCGGCCUGAGAGGGUGACCGGCCACAUUGGGACUGAGAUACGGCCCAGACUCCUACGGGAGGCAGCAGUGGGGAAUAUUGCACAAUGGGCGGAAGCCUGAUGCAGCAACGCCGCGUGCGGGAUGACGGCCUUCGGGUUGUAAACCGCUUUCGCCUGUGACGAAGCGUGAGUGACGGUAAUGGGUAAAGAAGCACCGGCUAACUACGUG
This 468-nucleotide ribosomal RNA is filed under the name uncultured bacterium. Its description in RNAcentral is "partial 16S ribosomal RNA". It matches the Rfam family "Bacterial small subunit ribosomal RNA", at positions 28 to 507 of the family's 1533-position model. The record is from RNAcentral.